This 353-nucleotide ribosomal RNA is filed under the name uncultured bacterium. Its description in RNAcentral is "bacterial SSU rRNA". It matches the Rfam family "Bacterial small subunit ribosomal RNA", at positions 8 to 350 of the family's 1533-position model. The record is from RNAcentral.
AGAGUUUGAUCAUGGCUCAGGAUGAACGCUAGCUACAGGCUUAACACAUGCAAGUCGAGGGGAAACGACAUCGAAAGCUUGCUUUUGAUGGGCGUCGACCGGCGCACGGGUGAGUAACGCGUAUCCAACCUGCCCACCACUUGGGGAUAACCUUGCGAAAGUAAGACUAAUACCCAAUGACGUCUCUAGAAGACAUCUGAAAGAGAUUAAAGAUUUAUCGGUGAUGGAUGGGGAUGCGUCUGAUUAGCUUGUUGGCGGGGUAACGGCCACCAAGGCGACGAUCAGUAGGGGUUCUGAGAGGAACGGUCCCCCACAUUGGAACUGAGACGACGGUCCAAACUCCUAGGGAGGCA